Non-coding RNA from Vicugna pacos (alpaca), 624 nucleotides. The record is from RefSeq and is a predicted model, not a curated record. Lineage: Eukaryota; Metazoa; Chordata; Mammalia; Artiodactyla; Camelidae.
CGCCCCGCGUCGCCCCGCGUCGUCCCCGCCUUGCGCUGCCCAGGUGACGCCCCGGCUGGUGGUGUCAGGCUCUCCCUCUCCCAAGCCCACUCAUUUAUUUCAAUGUCUCUCUUUUUUCAAUUGAGCUCUUUCUAUGGACGAAUACAGAAUAAAAGACGAGCAUCUGGAGUUUAUUUCUCAAAAGGAAACAGCAGUGUGUUGCUCUCUGACACCUCGCUGUGGACAUCGGGAUUCGAGAUUUCUGGUGGCUUUGAAAUAAAUUGAUUUUUGCUUUUCCCACGUAAAUCUGUGAGUUUAAGUAUUUUAUGAAUCAGCCAGAUGAAUACAUUCUCGAACCAGAACCGACCAAAGAGUUAAGAGAUUUUUAAUCUGUCAACUGAAUCUGAAGAAGAGGAAGUCAUUAUUGCUAUAAUUGGAAUAACGGAGCAUUGACCAACAGCAAAGGAUCAAAACCACCUGCAUGAACUCAAGAAUACGGAACUAUGGCUAAGGGAGUAUCAGAAUUGUUUGGGAUACCACUCACACAUGAAAACCCUGCCAUAAUGCUUUAUCAGAGCUGUCCAAAUGUGGAGGCUGCGUUGGGAAAUGGGAAACUUGAUCAUGGUACAUUUUCAAGUAGAGUUG